This 1223-nucleotide unclassified non-coding RNA is filed under the name Hevea brasiliensis (rubber tree). The record is from RNAcentral. Lineage: Eukaryota; Viridiplantae; Streptophyta; Magnoliopsida; Malpighiales; Euphorbiaceae.
GGUCCACCCCUCGGCAAUGGUUCUUGUAUAACUGAGCCUUCAACUUUCCAGACAAGUCUCUUCUUUUCCAAUUCUGUUCUUUCUUGAUUGGCAGAUAGGCUCAUUUCUGUCACUUUGUGAAUCUUCUUGCCAGGAAACAACUUCUUCAGUUCUACACUUGUCAUCACAGAAUAAUUAUUGUCCUCUCCAAUCUGCACAUUAUUUCAUGAAUCCGAGCAAAUAGACAUUUCAAAAUCAAAACGAAUAUAUGGAGUUUAGACAUUCAAAUAGAUGGACAGAUAAAUGAAUAAUCAAUCCUGUCAAAUGUUUGCUAAUACUGUCAUUGAAAUCAUGAAUGUGCAAUCAUGUUCAUACAAGACACAGAAGAGUGAAAAAGAGAGAUUCUUCAUAGAGAAUACUGCUUGUUUCAGCCGUUUCUCAGUUGGUGUUGAAUUAAUGAGCAACACAAUAUCAAUAACAGCAAGUUGCUGGCUAUAUCAUUUUGAUAUUCAAGUAUGAUAUGCCUAUAGUCCCAUAAAACUACAUUAGAAAAUUUGACUUCGUUGUCUUGCAAAGAAAUGGCUGAAAUUCUACCAAAGAUCUAGCAAUAUUGACUAUUAAAACAAAAAUUUUAAGUUGAGUGAUUUUGAUGAUACAAUUUGAAAUUUAUCGGCCAUGUUGAAAUUGAUGAUAAGUUUGAUGGCCAUCAGUGAAAUCAAACUGCCGAAUUACGCUCAGAUGAUGACAGUAUGUAAUUUAAAUAAAGAUGAAAAAAUGAUGUACAGAUUCCUAAAAUCUCAUCAAUAAAAGAGGUGCAUCAAACACAAACAAGAUUAGAGUGCGAUAGAAUUAAAACCUGAUAUAAGUGUGCUAAACGAAGUAGAACUUUUCCAUUAUCAAGCUCCUGCAUAUUUCAGGAGAAAGAGAGGACUAUUAGCAAGGAAGAUACACUGAUUCAGAAAAGAAAGGGCCAACACCAAACAACUAAUUAGUUAUUGCUUUCAAGCCAUACUAUGGAGCAGCUGUUUAUUAAGGUACUACAUUCAGGUAAAAUUGCCGUUCCUUGUCCUACCAAGUCAAGUAUGCAAGGGAAUAAGGAAACAAUAAACAAUAAUGCCUUUCACAACAAUAAGGCCCCAUCUACCUGGAGAGUUAUAACUGCAACAGUAUCAGGUAAACUAUAGGAGGAAUCAAUGCCUGAGAAAGUGGUUACAUGAGAAUUCAACCAGUUAUCUCCAUCCUCU